This 1512-nucleotide ribosomal RNA is filed under the name Escherichia coli. RNAcentral describes it as "bacterial SSU rRNA". It matches the Rfam family "Bacterial small subunit ribosomal RNA". The record is from RNAcentral. Lineage: Bacteria; Pseudomonadati; Pseudomonadota; Gammaproteobacteria; Enterobacterales; Enterobacteriaceae.
UGAACGCUGGCGGCAGGCCUAACACAUGCAAGUCGAACGGUAACAGGAAGCAGCUUGCUGCUUUGCUGACGAGUGGCGGACGGGUGAGUAAUGUCUGGGAAACUGCCUGAUGGAGGGGGAUAACUACUGGAAACGGUAGCUAAUACCGCAUAACGUCGCAAGACCAAAGAGGGGGACCUUCGGGCCUCUUGCCAUCGGAUGUGCCCAGAUGGGAUUAGCUAGUAGGUGGGGUAACGGCUCACCUAGGCGACGAUCCCUAGCUGGUCUGAGAGGAUGACCAGCCACACUGGAACUGAGACACGGUCCAGACUCCUACGGGAGGCAGCAGUGGGGAAUAUUGCACAAUGGGCGCAAGCCUGAUGCAGCCAUGCCGCGUGUAUGAAGAAGGCCUUCGGGUUGUAAAGUACUUUCAGCGGGGAGGAAGGGAGUAAAGUUAAUACCUUUGCUCAUUGACGUUACCCGCAGAAGAAGCACCGGCUAACUCCGUGCCAGCAGCCGCGGUAAUACGGAGGGUGCAAGCGUUAAUCGGAAUUACUGGGCGUAAAGCGCACGCAGGCGGUUUGUUAAGUCAGAUGUGAAAUCCCCGGGCUCAACCUGGGAACUGCAUCUGAUACUGGCAAGCUUGAGUCUCGUAGAGGGGGGUAGAAUUCCAGGUGUAGCGGUGAAAUGCGUAGAGAUCUGGAGGAAUACCGGUGGCGAAGGCGGCCCCCUGGACGAAGACUGACGCUCAGGUGCGAAAGCGUGGGGAGCAAACAGGAUUAGAUACCCUGGUAGUCCACGCCGUAAACGAUGUCGACUUGGAGGUUGUGCCCUUGAGGCGUGGCUUCCGGAGCUAACGCGUUAAGUCGACCGCCUGGGGAGUACGGCCGCAAGGUUAAAACUCAAAUGAAUUGACGGGGGCCCGCACAAGCGGUGGAGCAUGUGGUUUAAUUCGAUGCAACGCGAAGAACCUUACCUGGUCUUGACAUCCACGGAAGUUUUCAGAGAUGAGAAUGUGCCUUCGGGAACCGUGAGACAGGUGCUGCAUGGCUGUCGUCAGCUCGUGUUGUGAAAUGUUGGGUUAAGUCCCGCAACGAGCGCAACCCUUAUCCUUUGUUGCCAGCGGUCCGGCCGGGAACUCAAAGGAGACUGCCAGUGAUAAACUGGAGGAAGGUGGGGAUGACGUCAAGUCAUCAUGGCCCUUACGACCAGGGCUACACACGUGCUACAAUGGCGCAUACAAAGAGAAGCGACCUCGCGAGAGCAAGCGGACCUCAUAAAGUGCGUCGUAGUCCGGAUUGGAGUCUGCAACUCGACUCCAUGAAGUCGGAAUCGCUAGUAAUCGUGGAUCAGAAUGCCACGGUGAAUACGUUCCCGGGCCUUGUACACACCGCCCGUCACACCAUGGGAGUGGGUUGCAAAAGAAGUAGGUAGCUUAACCUUCGGGAGGGCGCUUACCACUUUGUGAUUCAUGACUGGGGUGAAGUCGUAACAAGGUAACCGUAGGGGAACCUGCGGUUGGAUCACCUCCUU